This 243-nucleotide long non-coding RNA is filed under the name Medicago truncatula (barrel medic). Its description in RNAcentral is "long non-coding RNA (MTRU_LNC004788)". The record is from RNAcentral. Lineage: Eukaryota; Viridiplantae; Streptophyta; Magnoliopsida; Fabales; Fabaceae.
CAGAACCUGAGGGAAGAGAAGUUAGGAAUUGAUUGUCUUCAAAGGAGACCAGGCAUGGGAUAAGUUUCUGAGGGAGAUUAUUAACCACACAGUUAGGAGGAGAAGCAAAAAUCUUGGAAAAAUAACUCAAAACAUGCUCUUCAAUAGCUUGGAGGGUGGAAAAAACCUCUUCCACUUCUAAGCAAAGUGAUGUGACUCUGAGAUUCUCUAAUUUUGACCACCCUAUAAAAAAGGAAGUGUUUC